This 529-nucleotide ribosomal RNA is filed under the name uncultured bacterium. RNAcentral's name for it is "bacterial SSU rRNA". It matches the Rfam family "Bacterial small subunit ribosomal RNA", at positions 791 to 1309 of the family's 1533-position model. The record is from RNAcentral.
UAGUCUACACCGUAAACGAUGGGCACUAGGUGGUGGAAACGCCGAUAGUUUUCUCGGCCGAAGCUAAAGUGUUAAGUUGACCGCCUGGGGAGUACGGUCGCAAGGCUAAAACUCAAAGGAAUUGACGGGGGCUCACACAAGCGGUGGAGCAUGUGGAUUAAUUCGAAGCAACGCGCAGAACCUUACCUGGGUUUGACAUGUUUGGAUGCCCUCUGUGAAAACAGAGUAAGCUACCCUUCGGGGUGAAACUUACACAGGUGCUGCAUGGCUGUCGUCAGCUCGUGUCGUGAGAUGUUGGGUUAAGUCCUUUAACGAGCGAAACCCUUACCGUUAGUUGCCAGCGAGUCAAGUCGGGGACUCUAACGGGACUGCCGGUGUUAAACCGGAGGAAGGCGGGGAUGACGUCAAGUCCUCAUGGCCUUUAUGCCCAGGGCUUCACACGUGCUACAAUGGUACGGACAGAGCGACGCAAGACCGCGAGGUGGAGCAAAUCGCAAAAACCGUGCCCCAGUUCGGAUUACAGGCUGGC